This 253-nucleotide ribosomal RNA is filed under the name uncultured bacterium. Its description in RNAcentral is "partial 16S ribosomal RNA". It matches the Rfam family "Bacterial small subunit ribosomal RNA", at positions 524 to 776 of the family's 1533-position model. The record is from RNAcentral.
UACGUAGGGUGCAAGCGUUAAUCGGAAUUACUGGGCGUAAAGGGUGCGUAGGCGGUCGCGCAAGUCGGAUGUGAAAUCUUAGGGCUCAACCCUGAAACUGCAUUCGAUACUGCGUGGCUCGAGUACUGGAGAGGAGACUGGAAUUUACGGUGUAGCAGUGAAAUGCGUAGAUAUCGUAAGGAAGACCAGUGGCGAAGGCGAGUCUCUGGACAGUUACUGACGCUGAGGCACGAAGGCCAGGGGAGCAAACGGG